RNAcentral lists this ribosomal RNA (468 nucleotides) under uncultured bacterium. Its description in RNAcentral is "partial 16S ribosomal RNA". It matches the Rfam family "Bacterial small subunit ribosomal RNA", at positions 28 to 507 of the family's 1533-position model. The record is from RNAcentral.
GACGAACGCUGGCGGCGUGCUUAACACAUGCAAGUCGAACGGAAAGGCCCUGCUUUUGUGGGGUGCUCGAGUGGCGAACGGGUGAGUAACACGUGAGUAACCUGCCCUUGACUUUGGGAUAACUUCAGGAAACUGGGGCUAAUACCGGAUAGGAGCUCCCGCUGCAUGGUGGGGGUUGGAAAGUUUCGGCGGUUGGGGAUGGACUCGCGGCUUAUCAGCUUGUUGGUGGGGUAGUGGCUUACCAAGGCUUUGACGGGUAGCCGGCCUGAGAGGGUGACCGGCCACAUUGGGACUGAGAUACGGCCCAGACUCCUACGGGAGGCAGCAGUGGGGAAUAUUGCACAAUGGGCGGAAGCCUGAUGCAGCAACGCCGCGUGCGGGAUGACGGCCUUCGGGUUGUAAACCGCUUUCGCCUGUGACGAAGCGUGAGUGACGGUAAUGGGUAAAGAAGCACUGGCUAACUACGUG